RNAcentral lists this ribosomal RNA (630 nucleotides) under uncultured bacterium. RNAcentral's name for it is "bacterial SSU rRNA". It matches the Rfam family "Bacterial small subunit ribosomal RNA", at positions 8 to 683 of the family's 1533-position model. The record is from RNAcentral.
AGAGUUUGAUCAUGGCUCAGAACGUACGCUGGCGGCACGCCUUAUACAUGCAAGUCGAACGAGGUAGCAAUACUUAGUGGCAGACGGGUGAGUAACAUGUGGGUAUCUUCCCUUUGGUGAGGAAUAACACGAGGAAACUUGUGCUAAUAUCUCAUAAGUCUUUACGGAGAAAGCUUUACGCGCCAAAGGAUGAGCCUGCACUUGAUUAGUUUGUUGGUGGGGUAAUGGCCUACCAAGACUUUGAUCAAUAGCUGAUCUGAGAGGAUGAUCAGCCACAUUGGGACUGAGACACGGCCCAAACUCCUACGGGAGGCAGCAGUAGGGAAUAUUGCACAAUGGAGGAAACUCUGAUGCAGCGAUGCCGCGUGAGUGAAGAAGGCCUUUGGGUUGUAAAGCUCUUUCGUCGGGGAAGAAAAUGACUGUACCCGAAUAAGAAGGUCCGGCUAACUUCGUGCCAGCAGCCGCGGUAAUACGAAGGGACCUAGCGUAGUUCGGAAUUACUGGGCUUAAAGAGUUCGUAGGUGGUUAAAAAAGUUGGUGGUGAAAUCCCAGAGCUUAACUCUGGAACUGCCAUCAAAACUUUUUAGCUAGAGUAUGAUAGAGGGAAGCAGAAUUUCUAGUGUAGAGGUG